This is a long non-coding RNA of Brassica oleracea var. oleracea, 2005 nucleotides long. RefSeq lists it as uncharacterized. The record is from RefSeq and is a predicted model, not a curated record. The transcript is spliced from 2 exons. NCBI's taxonomy places the organism in Eukaryota, Viridiplantae, Streptophyta, Magnoliopsida, Brassicales, Brassicaceae.
GUUGCGCGCGGUUGAUGGAAUGAUUGUGAUCAAGCGUGUCCCGACAGGCCUAAGCAGAAGACUCUGCAGGUAGUCAAUGAUCAAUUUCCAUUAAGAGGGGACAUUAAGGACUCCACACCUAUAGCAGAUGCGAUUCCACAACUGUGCAGAGAAGGAGCAAUCGUAUAAAAGGAAAACGGUUCAGGUGGAACAGCCAACAGAUGAAAGUAUUAUGUGUAGGGAUUCCUUUCUUGAUCCAAAUUAAAUAAUGUCAGUCCAUGGGACAAAAUUUGAUCUUGGGCAAAGGUGAUCAUAAAUUUGGCCCGUACGAUAUCGAUGAAUAGGUAAUCCAUCAAUCUCCCAAUAGUAAGUAUCUGUUUCAGUCAACAAAUAAUGGUGGUGAGGAAAGCCUGAACUUGAAGAAGAUUAUCUGUUUUGGCAGGAAGAAGAAACCAACUUCCAUUUAUGUUCAGUUUGUCGGGAGUAAUGUUCAGUGGAAUUCCGAAUCGAGAUGCUGAAGGAGUUUCCAGGAAGGCUAGUAGACGGUCAUAGGGAGACCAGUUAUCCCACCAAAAUCAACAUGAUUUUCCAUCAUCUAUUCUUAGCUUGAUCCAUUCAAAAACCGUAUCUUUCUGUUUCAGAAGCUUGUUGGCAAGCCAUGAGAAUUGAUGCCUCUUUUAAGGCUCCAUAAGUUAUAAGUUCUCCUUAGUAACUUUCUCACGAAAUCAGACGACCCAUAUGGAUCCUGACUGCGAAAAGAGUAGCCAAAUCAGCUUAAUGAGACAAGUUGUGUUCCAGGAGCCGAUGUCUUUUAGCCCUAACCCACCCUCAGUUUUAGGUUUACUGACUGUUUCCCAACUUACUCUUGCAUAGAUAUUACCUUCAGGAGUGCCUUUCCAUAAGAAAUUUUAGCACAUCAAUCUUAUUUUUCCAAUACAUUUCUUUGCCAAGACAAACGUUGAAGUCAAAAAAUUCAGGAGACACACAAUUACAGUAUCCAAAAGCAGGAACCUUCCAGCGAAUGAUAAUGAUUUAACUGACCAGCAAUUAAUCUUAACUUUGAUUAUGUGGAGAAGAGACUCCCAGUUUGCCAAGGUAAGCUUUUUCGUACAAAGAGGUACUCCCAAGUAACGAACAUGGAAAAGUCCAUGAUAUAACCCCACCGAGAAGCUGAUGCGAUCUUUUUCUUCCUGUGACAGGCCAGAAGAAUAGAAGGAUGAUUUAGAGGGACUUAUAGAGAGGCCUGGAAGAGUAUCAAAUUCACGAAGAACUAAGAGGACUGCCUGAACCGAGGAGAGGGAGCCGUUUAGAAAGAUCAUCUGCAAAAAUCAAGUGCAUAAACUUCAUUUUUCACAAGCCAUUGUACCCUAUAGUAAAGCUAGGCGUAGACAGACAUGCUAUGAUCCAUCUCGAAAAAAUUUCAGGUCCCGUAGGCAAGAGUAGAGAAACUCCUAGUUAAUGCAAACAAAUGCUUUUGCGAUAUCAAUUUUAAAAUUUCGUUUAGGGUCUUUGUUGAGAUGGUAGCCAUUGACAAUCUCAGAUGCUAAAAGAGUGUUUUCUAGAAGGAGCCUUCCCCAUACAAAAGCUGCUUGGUUUGGUCUUCUCAGUGAAUAAAGAUUGUCUUCAGGCGUUUAACCAACAGAUGGGAAAUAACUUUGUAGAGAUUAUUCAAGCCUAUAGGCAUGAAGUCUGAGAUUACAUUUGCUCCAGGGAAUUUUUGCACUAGAAAUAUGAUUGUGGCAUACAUGGAGGAAGGCAUGAAUCCUAUGGUGAAAAAAAAAUUCAAAAUACCUUCAGUGACCUCAUCACCCAAUACAUCCCAUGUAGCAGGAAAAACCUAGAGUUUAACCCAGACACUUGUUGGGAUUCAACUUAAACAUAGCCAUUUUAAUUUCAGCAGGAGAAAUAGGAGAUUGCAAGAUCUGUCUUUCUGCAUCAGAGCAGGUUAAGUCACACAAGAGAGCAAACCAAAAAGUAAAGAUCAUUCGUACAAUUUCGAGAAACUUAAAAUAUCAAAAAAAAAAAA